AGAGUUUGAUCCUGGCUCAGAACGAACGCUGGCGGCGCGUUUUAAGCAUGCAAGUCGAACGGCAAGACUGGUAGCAAUACUGGUCUGAGAGUGGCGAACGGGUGAGUAAGACGUAGGUGAUCUACCCCUGGAUGGGGGAUAGUCCGUGGAAACACGGGGUAAUACCGCAUAAGGCCUUGUGGGUGAAGCCAUGAGGUGAAAGCUCCAAUUGGAGCGUCUGGGGAUGAGCCUGCGGCCCAUUAGGCAGUUGGCGGGGUAACGGCCCACCAAACCGACGAUGGGUAGCCGGCCUGAGAGGGUGUACGGCCACACUGGAACUGAGACACGGUCCAGACUCCUACGGGAGGCAGCAGCUAAGAAUCUUCCGCAAUGGGGGAAACCCUGACGGAGCGACGCCGCGUGGACGAUGAAGGCCGUAAGGUUGUAAAGUCCUUUUGCAGGAGAAGAAUAAGGUAGGGAGUGGAAAGCCCUGCUGAUGACGUUAUCCUGCGAAUAAGCCCCGGCCAAUUACGUGCCAGCAGCCGCGGUAAUACGUAUGGGGCGAGCGUUGUUCGGAGUUAUUGGGCGUAAAGGGCGUGUAGGCGGCCCGAGAAGUCUGGUGUGAAAUCGCAGGGCUCAACCCUGCGGGUGCGCUGGAAACUGACGGGCUUGAGUCCCGGGGGGAAGCUGGAAUUCCUGGUGUAGGAGUGAAAUCUGUAGAGAUCAGGAAGAACACCGGUGGCGAAGGCGAGCUUCUAUUCGAGGACUGACGCUGAGGCGCGAAAGCGUGGGGAGCAAACAGGAUUAGAUACCCUGGUAGUC
RNAcentral lists this ribosomal RNA (801 nucleotides) under uncultured bacterium. RNAcentral's name for it is "bacterial SSU rRNA". It matches the Rfam family "Bacterial small subunit ribosomal RNA", at positions 8 to 795 of the family's 1533-position model. The record is from RNAcentral.